Molecule: non-coding RNA, 97 nt
Organism: Mycena leptocephala
Lineage: Eukaryota; Fungi; Basidiomycota; Agaricomycetes; Agaricales; Mycenaceae
Source: the annotation of a GenBank genome assembly
GGCUUGGUAGCACUCGGUGUGCAUCUGCAUCUACUUCCAAUGUUUAUCUGACAUAUGCACUGAGCAGAGAUAGCUCGUUCGACUCGGGCCCAAGUCA